This 209-nucleotide long non-coding RNA is filed under the name Gossypium raimondii (Peruvian cotton). Its description in RNAcentral is "long non-coding RNA (GRAI_LNC005838)". Lineage: Eukaryota; Viridiplantae; Streptophyta; Magnoliopsida; Malvales; Malvaceae. The record is from RNAcentral.
CUUAAAUGAAAUAUUAAAUAAAACUGGUGAUUUUUUUAAAAAUAUAUAUAAAAAUAAAAAAAAGAAAAAGAAAAUUCGGAGGUUUAAUAGGCUGAGGAUCAAGUUGCAAUAUGGCUAAAAUUUCAGGGUCAAAAUCACAAAAUAAAAAAAUAGGGUUGCAAAGGACUGAAUUGAAACGCGCUCAAAACGUGAGGGACUUCCAGAUAAAU